CAAAGGUCCCAGCUGCCUGAACUUGGUGUACUGCAGAGGAAGGAGGGGCCUGGGAAUACAGGCUGAAAGUCAGAAGGGAGAGAAGACUGUACUUGCUGAAUGGACACUACUUGGAAGAGACGUCCCCCGUAUCACAGGCCCUGCUCCGUGGCCUGGGACACUUGUUACAACGACGCUGUGUGGCCUGGCAAAAGCUCCUGCCACUUACUUUCUGAUGGCUGCCUGGGGAGAAUGGCUAGGAAGGCUGAGCAUUUCCACCUGCCAGCCCCACCCCUGCCUGCUCCGCCCUUGAAAGGGACUGCAACUCUACCUUGUGUUUGAGGAGGCAAAGCAUUUUUUUUCUCAGUUGCCACCUGUAAUAGAAAUGCUAGUACUGUUUUGCUUAUUUAUGAUUAAUUAAGACUUGUACGUUAUAGGAUGUUUAUGCUUAUAUUUGUUAACUGCUUUGAUUGUUCUUCUUAAAAUUUGUUGUAACCUGCCCCGAGCCUGCUCACGGGGACAGUGGGCUAUAAAUCAAAUAAAUGAAUGGAAUGAAUGAAUGGCCAGACCCCA
Eublepharis macularius is the source of this 552-nucleotide long non-coding RNA. RefSeq lists it as uncharacterized. The record is from RefSeq and is a predicted model, not a curated record. Lineage: Eukaryota; Metazoa; Chordata; Lepidosauria; Squamata; Eublepharidae. The transcript has 2 exons.